Molecule: long non-coding RNA, 255 nt
Organism: Salvelinus namaycush (lake trout)
Lineage: Eukaryota; Metazoa; Chordata; Actinopteri; Salmoniformes; Salmonidae
Exons: 3
Source: RefSeq, a predicted model, not a curated record
UACUUUGACUCCAGUUUGUACUUCCUGUCUACUGAGAAGAAAACCUGGGAGAAGAGCAGACAGGACUGUCAGGGGAGAAGAGCAGACCUGGUGAUCAUAAACAGCAGAGAGGAACAGAUAUUUCUCUUCAACCUCCACCUGAGAGCCUGGAUUGGUCUGACUGACUCUGUUACUGAGGGGACCUGGAAGUGGGUGGACGGCACCCCACUGACCACAGGGUACUGGGGGACAGGACAGUCUGAUAAUGGUGGUCUG